Molecule: non-coding RNA, 347 nt
Organism: Sus scrofa (pig)
Lineage: Eukaryota; Metazoa; Chordata; Mammalia; Artiodactyla; Suidae
Source: RefSeq, a predicted model, not a curated record
GAUGGUUGGCCCCGUGGCAGGGAGGUCUGCAGAAAGAGGAGCCCACAGGGCAAGCCUGGCUGGUUUUCCAGCCUCUUGCAAUGCAAAUUCGCUGAGAGCAGGACCUGACCCCAUUCCUUCACUUCUGCAGUGAUGCUCUCCUCCGCCAGCACCGGGUGCGGGGUCCUCAGCAGGCAGCAGAAGGGUCCUUCCUCCCCGCCUUUGUGGUUUACAUUCCCACGGUGGAUUAGAUCUGAUUCCAACAAGCUCAUGCUUAGGAGCAUGAAGAGGAAGUGCCAACCCUCACCGUUUCACCAAGAAAACCAGAGAUUCCUUGUUUUCUGAAUAAAACACGGGUAUGUCUCAGA